This 993-nucleotide long non-coding RNA is filed under the name Equus caballus (horse). Its description in RNAcentral is "lncRNA (ENSECAG00000048600.1)". The record is from RNAcentral. Lineage: Eukaryota; Metazoa; Chordata; Mammalia; Perissodactyla; Equidae.
AUAAGCCCGGGGCAGCCUUUUCAGAGUUUUAGGCCACAACUCUCCUGCCUUUGCACUAUUCUGCACCCAUGCCUGCCCACUACACAGGCCUCACUUAUGCCCCGAAUCUCCAUGCAACCAUGUCUUUGCCUCAUCACUUUUCUUGAGCAUGGAAUUCCAAUUUCUCCCCCAGUGUUCACUUCUAGAAAUCAUUUCCACCUUUUAAGAUCCAUUUCAAGUCCUACUUUCUCCAUAAAGAAUUCCCUGAUGUCCCCAGUAUGGGAGCCAUCUUCUUUCUUUGAACCCACGGCAGUUACGUUUUUUUCAGCUUUAUGCCAUAGUUCACUCAUGUCCUCAUUACAGCUUCUCUUUUAGAUUGUAAGUUUCUCAUGGGCCAGGAUGUUGUCUUGAUUUAUGUUUUUCUUGCAACUACCAGGAUGCUCUCUACACUACAUCCAUAAGACAGAAAAUAAGUGAGUCCAGUGUUCUGUUCCCCCAGCUCUGGCUGACUGGGACGGAGGGAAAUUCACAGCCUGAGGCAGCCACAUGUCUGGUUUCUGUAUUCGUAACGCUCUCUGACUGUACAUGGCAAGGGAAGGAAGAGCUCCUGUUCCACCGCUUGCAAGGCCCUAUAUAAUUUUCAAAUCUUCCCCUGUCUUUGGUGAGGAGAAUCAGUAAAAUAUUAAGUGAGUUUUCAUAAAUGAAAUGACCAUAGCAGCAAUCUCUAAAAUGAACUGAAGAGGUAAAGUGGGAAACAGGUAUAGCUGAAGAAGCAGAUAUGGGAAAGGGCAUGUGACAUGUGACAAGUGUUCCCGAAGAGCAGACGUUUACAAGUUGUGCUCAACUCCAGCGCUCCUUGGACACAAUAACACAAAACAGCUCCUGAGAUCCCCUUCUCCAGUCUUGUAUGAAGGUAGAAACCUUUCUGAAUUUGAACAGCAAGAGGAAGAAAAGACAAUGUAAGGGAGGUUGAGACUCCUGACUAUAACAAACGGGGAGUCUCUGUGAAUGGAG